GAUGAAGAACGUAGUGAAAUGCGAUAAGUAGUGUGAAUUGCAGAAUUCAGUGAAUCAUCGAAUCUUUGAACGCACAUUGCGCCCCUUGGUAUUCCAUGGGGCAUGCCUGUUCGAGCGUCAUUUGUACCUUCAAGCUUUGCUUGGUGUUGGGUGUUUGUCCUGAGGGACUCGCCUUAAAGUAAUUGGCAGCGGUCGUGCCAGCUUCUCGCGCAGCACAUUUGCGUUUCUUGAAGUUUGGUGGAUCAGCAUCCAGUAAGCUCUUUUAUGACUUGACCUCGGAUCAGGUAGGGAUACCCGCUGAACUUAAGCAUAUCAAUAAGCGGAGGA
RNAcentral lists this unclassified non-coding RNA (327 nucleotides) under soil metagenome. Its description in RNAcentral is "partial contains 5.8S ribosomal RNA, internal transcribed spacer 2, and large subunit ribosomal RNA". The stretch from base 1 to 120 matches the Rfam family "5.8S ribosomal RNA", at positions 35 to 154 of the family's 154-position model. The record is from RNAcentral.